This 376-nucleotide ribosomal RNA is filed under the name uncultured bacterium. Its description in RNAcentral is "bacterial SSU rRNA". It matches the Rfam family "Bacterial small subunit ribosomal RNA", at positions 523 to 898 of the family's 1533-position model. The record is from RNAcentral.
AUACGUAGGGAGCGAGCGUUGUCCGGAUUUACUGGGUGUAAAGGGUGCGUAGGCGGGACUGCAAGUCAGACGUGAAAUACCGAGGCUUAACUUCGGGGCUGCGUUUGAAACUGUGGUUCUUGAGUGAAGUAGAGGCAGGCGGAAUUCCUAGUGUAGCGGUGAAAUGCGUAGAUAUUAGGAGGAACACCAGUGGCGAAGGCGGCCUGCUGGGCUUUAACUGACGCUGAAGCACGAAAGCAUGGGGAGCAAACAGGAUUAGAUACCCUGGUAGUCCAUGCCGUAAACGAUGAUAGCUAGGUGUGGGGGGACUGACCCCUUCCGUGCCGCAGCAAACGCAAUAAGCUAUCCACCUGGGGAGUACGACCGCAAGGUUGAA